CUAGUUACAGCCCAACUUCUCCCAGCUAUAGCCCAACAUCUCCAAGUUAUAGUCCAACCUCUCCAAGCUAUAGCCCCACAUCUCCCAGUUACAGCCCAACUUCACCAAGCUAUAGCCCUACAUCUCCAGUAUAUAGUCCCACUUCACCUGCAUAUAGUCCCACUUCGCCUGCAUACAGUCCUACCUCACCAUCAUACAGCCCAACUUCUCCUUCCUAUAGCCCAACGUCACCUUCCUAUAGCCCAACCUCGCCUUCUUACAGCCCCACAUCUCCAUCAUACAGUCCAACUUCACCUGCUUAUAGCCCGACAUCCCCUGGUUACAGUCCAACCUCACCAAGCUAUAGCCCAACAUCGCCAAGCUAUAGCCCGACCUCACCCAGUUACAAUCCUCAGUCAGCUAAAUACAGUCCGUCACUGGCAUACUCACCUAGCAGUCCAAGAUUGUCACCGUCGAGUCCUUACAGCCCCACGUCUCCAAAUUAU
Molecule: long non-coding RNA, 485 nt
Filed under: Manihot esculenta (cassava)
Lineage: Eukaryota; Viridiplantae; Streptophyta; Magnoliopsida; Malpighiales; Euphorbiaceae
Description: long non-coding RNA (MESC_LNC000551)
Source: RNAcentral